This 253-nucleotide ribosomal RNA is filed under the name uncultured bacterium. Its description in RNAcentral is "partial 16S ribosomal RNA". It matches the Rfam family "Bacterial small subunit ribosomal RNA", at positions 524 to 776 of the family's 1533-position model. The record is from RNAcentral.
UACAGAGGGGGCAAGCGUUGUUCGGAAUUACUGGGCGUAAAGGGCGCGUAGGCGGCCCGUUAAGUCGAACGUGAAAUCCCCGGGCUCAACCCGGGAACUGCGUCCGAUACUGGCAGGCUUGAAUUCGGGAGAGGGAUGCGGAAUUCCAGGUGUAGCGGUGAAAUGCGUAGAUAUCUGGAGGAACACCGGUGGCGAAGGCGGCAUCCUGGACCGAGAUUGACGCUGAGGCGCGAAAGCCAGGGGAGCAAACGGG